UUUUAGAUGUUAAAAAUAGUUCAGAAUUCAAUACCAAAUAAGUUUUUAGAUAUUAAAUUUAGUAUUUAAAAAGGGAGCUGAUUUUCUCCGCUUACACUCCCUUUUGCUUUUUAAUUAAUUUUGUACUUUCUCUUUCCUAUUCUAUCAUUAUCCUACGUUAAUUUCUUUUUACUUUACUUUUAUAUUUGUUAAGGCCCAAAAAAAUCACGGGAAGCCCAAAUACAUUCAAAGCCCAAUAUAACAUAUAAUGUUGGUCAUGCGUUAAUUCAAGCUGUAUUUUGAGAAUUAAUUUAUUAAAUAAAUAUAUAAAUAGUGUACAUGCCAUGCCAAAUCAAUAAUACAUUUUUCCUAUGCCAAUCAUGUCAGAUCCCGAGAUCGGCUCCGCCGUAGCACGAUAUUAUCCGCUUUGGGCCCCCCUCUCUGCCCGCACGGUUUUGUUUCUGGGAGCUCACGAGCAACUUCCCAGUGGGUCACCCAUACUGGGAUUGCUCUAGCCCCCAACUCGCUUAACUUCAGAGUUCCUACAACUCCGAAGCCAGUGAGCUCCUAAAAGGCCUUGUGCUAGAUGGAUGCGGGUGUGCACAUAUAAGGCACAUCACCCCCUCUCCGUUGGUUGAUGUGGGAUCUUACAAUCCACCCCCUUAAGGGUCCGACGUCCUCAUCGGCACACUCGCACCACACGGCAGAGUGGCUCUAAUACCAAAUUGUCACACCCCGGGAUCGGCUUCGCCGUAGCACGAUAUUGUCCGCUUUGGGCCCUCCUCUCUGCCCGCACGGUUUUGUUUCUGGGAGCUCACGAGCAACUUCCCAGUGGGUCACCCAUCCUGGGAUUGCUCUAGCCCCCAACUCGCUUAACUUCGAGUUCCUACAACUCCAAAGCCAGUGAGCUCCUAAAAGGCCUUGUGCUAGAUGGAUGCGGGUGUGCACAUAUAAGGCACAUCACCCCCUCUCCGUUGGUUGAUGUGGGAUCUUACAAUCCAC
RNAcentral lists this long non-coding RNA (981 nucleotides) under Prunus persica (peach). RNAcentral describes it as "long non-coding RNA (PPER_LNC005965)". The record is from RNAcentral. Lineage: Eukaryota; Viridiplantae; Streptophyta; Magnoliopsida; Rosales; Rosaceae.